RNAcentral lists this ribosomal RNA (253 nucleotides) under uncultured bacterium. RNAcentral's name for it is "partial 16S ribosomal RNA". It matches the Rfam family "Bacterial small subunit ribosomal RNA", at positions 524 to 776 of the family's 1533-position model. The record is from RNAcentral.
UACGUAGGGUGCGAGCGUUAAUCGGAAUUACUGGGCGUAAAGCGUGCGCAGGCGGUUUUGUAAGCCAGAUGUGAAAUCCCCGGGCUUAACCUGGGAAUGGCAUUUGGGACUGCAAGGCUUGAGUGCGGCAGAGGAGACUGGAAUUCCUGGUGUAGCAGUGAAAUGCGUAGAUAUCAGGAGGAACACCGAUGGCGAAGGCAGGUCGCUGGGACGUGACUGACGCUGAGACGCGAAAGCGUGGGGAGCAAACAGG